CCCUUAGAUGUCCUGGGCCGCACGCGCGUUACACUGAUGCAUUCAACGAGCUUAUAACCUUGGCCGAGAGGCCUGGGCAAUCUUGUUAACGUGCAUCGUGAUAGGGAUAGAUUAUUGAAAUUAUUAAUCUUGAACGAGGAAUUCCUAGUAAACGCAAAUCAUCAAUUUGCAUUGAUUACGUCCCUGCCCUUUGUACACACCGCCCGUCGCACCUACCGAUUGAAUGGUCCGGUGAAGCCUCGGGAUUGUGGCCAGUUCACUUUAUUGGGAGUUGGCUGCGAGAACUUGUCUAAACCUUAUCAUUUAGAGGAAGGUGAAGUCGUAACA
This 327-nucleotide ribosomal RNA is filed under the name uncultured eukaryote. RNAcentral describes it as "partial 18S ribosomal RNA". It matches the Rfam family "Eukaryotic small subunit ribosomal RNA", at positions 1470 to 1796 of the family's 1831-position model. The record is from RNAcentral.